AACGAACGCUGGCGGCGGGGGCUUAGGCAUGCAAGUCGAGCGAGAAAGGCGCAAGCUGAGUACAGCGGCGUAAGGGUGAGUAAUGGGUAGCUGACCUACCCUCGUGACGCGGAUAAUUCCUCGAAAGGGGUUGUAAUACGCGAUGAGACCACGGUGCUUUCGGGCGCUGAGGUCAAAGGCCGGGGGAUCCUUCGGGACCCGACGCACGAGGAGGGGGCGACCUCUGAUUAGCUAGUUGGCGGGGUAACGGCCCACCAAGGCGAUGAUCAGUAGCCGGGCUGAGAGGCUGUCCGGCCACACGGGCACUGAGACACUGGCCCGACUCCUACGGGAGGCUGCAGUCGCGAAUUUUUCACAAUGGGCGCAAGCCUGAUGAAGCCACGCCGUGUGCGGGAUGAAAGGCCCUCUGGGUUGUAAAACCGCCGUCAGGGGAGGGAAAGUGUCAGGUGUUAACAGCAUCUGGCUUGAUUGCUCUCCAAAAGG
Molecule: ribosomal RNA, 483 nt
Filed under: uncultured bacterium
Lineage: Bacteria
Description: bacterial SSU rRNA
Rfam family: Bacterial small subunit ribosomal RNA
Source: RNAcentral